CAAUAGCGUAUAUUUAAGUUGUUGCAGUUAAAAAGCUCGUAGUUGGAUUUCGGAUGGGACUUGCCGGUCCGUCGUUUCGAUGUGCACUGGCCAGUCCUAUCUUGUUGUCGGGGACUAGCUCCUGGGCUUCACUGUCCGGGACUAGGAGCUGACGAGGUUACUUUGAGUAAAUUAGAGUGUUCAAAGCAAGCCUACGCUCUGAAUACAUUAGCAUGGAAUAACACGAUAGGACUCUGGCUUAUCUUGUUGGUCUGUGAGACCAGAGUAAUGAUUAAGAGGGACAGUCGGGGGCAUUCGUAUUUCAUUGUCAGAGGUGAAAUUCUUGGAUUUAUGAAAGACGAACUUCUGCGAAAGCGUUUGCCCAGGAUGUUUUCAUUGA
RNAcentral lists this ribosomal RNA (379 nucleotides) under uncultured eukaryote. RNAcentral's name for it is "partial 18S ribosomal RNA". It matches the Rfam family "Eukaryotic small subunit ribosomal RNA", at positions 592 to 976 of the family's 1831-position model. The record is from RNAcentral.